This 493-nucleotide ribosomal RNA is filed under the name uncultured Gammaproteobacteria bacterium. RNAcentral describes it as "bacterial SSU rRNA". It matches the Rfam family "Bacterial small subunit ribosomal RNA", at positions 355 to 841 of the family's 1533-position model. Lineage: Bacteria; Pseudomonadati; Pseudomonadota; Gammaproteobacteria. The record is from RNAcentral.
UGGGGAAUAUUGCACAAUGGGCGAAAGCCUGAUGCAGCCAUGCCGCGUGUAUGAAGAAGGCCUUCGGGUUGUAAAGUACUUUCAGUUGUGAGGAAGGGGGUAAUGUUAAUAGCGUUAUCUCUUGACGUUAGCAACAGAAGAAGCACCGGCUAACUCCGUGCCAGCAGCCGCGGUAAUACGGAGGGUGCGAGCGUUAAUCGGAAUUACUGGGCGUAAAGCGCAUGCAGGUGGUUCAUUAAGUCAGAUGUGAAAGCCCGGGCUCAACCUCGGAACUGCAUUUGAAACUGGUGAACUAGAGUGCUGUAGAGGGGGGUAGAAUUUCAGGUGUAGCGGUGAAAUGCGUAGAGAUCUGAAGGAAUACCAGUGGCGAAGGCGGCCCCCUGGACAGACACUGACACUCAGAUGCGAAAGCGUGGGGAGCAAACAGGAUUAGAUACCCUGGUAGUCCACGCCGUAAACGAUGUCUACUUGGAGGUUGUGGCCUUGAGCCGUG